RNAcentral lists this ribosomal RNA (440 nucleotides) under uncultured bacterium. Its description in RNAcentral is "bacterial SSU rRNA". It matches the Rfam family "Bacterial small subunit ribosomal RNA", at positions 339 to 796 of the family's 1533-position model. The record is from RNAcentral.
CUACGGGAGGCAGCAGUAAGGAAUAUUGGACAAUGGGCGAAAGCCUGAUCCAGCCAUGCCGCGUGAGUGACGAAGGCCUUAGGGUUGUAAAGCUCUUUUGGCGGGGACGAUAAUGACGGUACCCGCAGAAUAAGCCCCGGCUAACUUCGUGCCAGCAGCCGCGGUAAUACGAAGGGGGCUAGCGUUGUUCGGAAUCACUGGGCGUAAAGCGCACGUAGGCGGACUAGUAAGUCAGGGGUGAAAUCCCGGGGCUCAACCUCGGAACUGCCUUUGAUACUGCUAGUCUAGAGUCCGAGAGAGGUGAGUGGAAUUCCUAGUGUAGAGGUGAAAUUCGUAGAUAUUAGGAAGAACACCAGUGGCGAAGGCGGCUCACUGGCUCGGUACUGACGCUGAGGUGCGAAAGCGUGGGGAGCAAACAGGAUUAGAAACCCUAGUAGUCC